Molecule: long non-coding RNA, 494 nt
Filed under: Salvia miltiorrhiza (redroot sage)
Lineage: Eukaryota; Viridiplantae; Streptophyta; Magnoliopsida; Lamiales; Lamiaceae
Description: long non-coding RNA (SMIL_LNC008310)
Source: RNAcentral
AUAAAUAUUUGCAGGUUAAUUAAUUGCUUUGGAUUUUAGUAAAAUGUGAUCUUUAAUUCAAGCAACGGUUAAUCAAGCAGAGUGUUUCACGUUUUCUACGUAUUCUCAAGGUAACUAGCAGAGCUACGGUUUAUGUGUUUUGUUGAUAUAAGACUGUAAUUCUCAAGUUCUGUGAUGAUUGAUUCAUUUUCCUGUAUUCUACUCAUGAAUAUAGGAACUUUUAAUGUUUUACAGUGUUGAUUGCUACAUCUUCUAGUAUUCUUAACCUGGUGAAGAAGAGAGGAAACAAAGUGUUGAGAUGAUCUUUGGUUGCUUAAUAUCUUGCUGCAUUUUAUUAAAUCUGCUGUGUAUUCGUGAGUUUAUUCGUGUAUAUAAUUGGGAGAAGAAAUUGUGACUAGUUUUAAGUAUUGGCUGCUUGUUUAAUUCGAACAUUGAACCGUUUGUUUAAUUGAAGAUCAAUUAAAUUAAUCAAUUAUAUAAUAGUAAAUAUUGUU